AACGAACGCUGGCGGCAGGCUUAACACAUGCAAGUCGAACGCCCCGCAAGGGGAGUGGCAGACGGGUGAGUAACGCGUGGGAACAUACCCAUCACUACGGAAUAACUCAGGGAAACUUGUGCUAAUACCGUAUACGACCGAGAGGUGAAAGAUUUAUCGGUGAUGGAUUGGCCCGCGUUGGAUUAGCUAGUUGGUGGGGUAAAGGCCUACCAAGGCGACGAUCCAUAGCUGGUCUGAGAGGAUGAUCAGCCACAUUGGGACUGAGACACGGCCCAAACUCCUACGGGAGGCAGCAGUGGGGAAUAUUGGACAAUGGGCGCAAGCCUGAUCCAGCCAUGCCGCGUGAGUGAUGAAGGCCUUAGGGUUGUAAAGCUCUUUCACCGGAGAAGAUAAUGACGGUAUCCGGAGAAGAAGCCCCGGCUAACUUCGUGCCAGCCGCCGCCGUAAGAC
Molecule: ribosomal RNA, 450 nt
Filed under: uncultured bacterium
Lineage: Bacteria
Description: bacterial SSU rRNA
Rfam family: Bacterial small subunit ribosomal RNA
Source: RNAcentral